UUUAAUCUCAUUCGCGGCAAAAGAAUAGAGCUUGGGCUCGAGCAACCCAUCUUUAGGCCUAAUUUUGGACCUAGCCUACAAUUGUCAAGCCCAUAAUUUCUAGGACCAUACCCCUUAACCUAAAACCCUACAACCUAGACUAUACACUAUAAAAAAGAAGACAAAAGAAUAAGAAAAGGAACGAAGAAGAGGCUGGACAAAAGCUGAGAGAAAGGUUGCGCAGCUUUUGGAAAGAGAACGACCCCCUCCCAACGUCUUCUCCUCCGUCAUACCCCAUCCCCUGACCUGAUCGUCUUCAAUGUUUUCUUUGCCCGUUUCUGAUUUGGUUCUUCAACAUAAAUACAAAAACGACCCCCUGAUUUCGUCUCCCUCUCUCACCCGAUGACUGCUCACCCAAACGACCCCUGAACUUCCGGCGUCGACUCUGUCCAAACGACCUUUACUUCGCCGGUUAUCACUCAACCAGACGAGCUCCCUCGCCGGAAAACAACACCUAAUUCACUCUUUCACUGCCUACACACAUACGCUCAGUCACUCCUCACUAUCGUCGGAAUACACACGUAAUUCGUCACCGGAAAUUCUCAAAAGCACACACGAGAUAAAUUGAUUUCAAAGAUGGUUUUGAUUUUGUUUCUUCACUUGGAUUCGAUUUCUGGUUAUUCGAGUAUGGGGAUAAAGUUCAGUCGAGGUUGAUUCAAGUUCGUGUUCGAUUCGAAAUUCCGGUGCCGAUUUGAGUUUCCGUCCGGUGGCUUGCUGUUCCAGCUCGGGUUUUGCUGUUUAACGAGAGGACUGCGGAAUGGUAUUCUGAGAGAUGCCCCUGCAUAUUUAUUUUGGGACUACGGAACGGUAUUCUGGGAGAUCGCCCUGCAUAUUUACUUUGGGACUACGGGACGGUAUCCUGAAAGAUCCCCUUGCAUAUUUACUUUGGGACUGCGAGACGGUAUCCUCGGGAACCCCCUACACAUUUACUUUUUAGGACUAUGAGAUGGUAUCUAAUCCCCUGUUGUUAUUUCUGUACACUGUACUGUUAUGUUUCUGUGAUUCCCUUCUUAUUAAAUUUCAGUCUUUUUUUAA
Molecule: non-coding RNA, 1074 nt
Organism: Nicotiana tabacum (common tobacco)
Lineage: Eukaryota; Viridiplantae; Streptophyta; Magnoliopsida; Solanales; Solanaceae
Source: RefSeq, a predicted model, not a curated record